AACAAACGCUGGCGGCGUGCCUAACACAUGCAAGUCGAACGUGAAAGUUGGCUUCGGCCGAUGAGUAAAGUGGCGCACGGGUGAGUAACGCGUGGAUAAUCUGCCCUUCAGUUGGGAAUAACUCAUCGAAAGGUGAGCUAAUACCGAAUAAUACUGCUUGACCAUGGUCAGGUAGUCAAAGAUAGCCUCUGCUUGCAAGCUUUCGCUGAAAGAUGAGUCCGCGUACCAUUAGCUAGUUGGUGGGUAAUGGCCUACCAAGGCGACGAUGGUUAGCUGGUCUGAGAGGAUGAUCAGCCACACUGGAACUGAGACACGGUCCAGACACCUACGGGUGCAG
RNAcentral lists this ribosomal RNA (337 nucleotides) under uncultured Pseudomonadota bacterium. RNAcentral's name for it is "bacterial SSU rRNA". It matches the Rfam family "Bacterial small subunit ribosomal RNA", at positions 29 to 351 of the family's 1533-position model. The record is from RNAcentral. Lineage: Bacteria; Pseudomonadati; Pseudomonadota.